UGGGGAAUAUUGGACAAUGGGGGAAACCCUGAUCCAGCAAUGCCGCGUGAGUGAUGAAGGCCUUAGGGUUGUAAAGCUCUUUUACCUGCGAUGAUAAUGACAGUAGCAGGGGAAUAAGCUCCGGCUAACUUCGUGCCAGCAGCCGCGGUAAUACGAAGGGAGCUAGCGUUGUUCGGAAUUACUGGGCGUAAAGGGCGCGUAGGCGGCGCUGUAAGUGAGAUGUGAAAGACCUGGGCUUAACCUGGGAAGU
This 250-nucleotide ribosomal RNA is filed under the name uncultured bacterium. RNAcentral's name for it is "partial 16S ribosomal RNA". It matches the Rfam family "Bacterial small subunit ribosomal RNA", at positions 355 to 622 of the family's 1533-position model. The record is from RNAcentral.